This is a long non-coding RNA of Mauremys reevesii (Reeves's turtle), 673 nucleotides long. RefSeq lists it as uncharacterized. Lineage: Eukaryota; Metazoa; Chordata; Testudines; Geoemydidae. The record is from RefSeq and is a predicted model, not a curated record. The transcript has 7 exons.
GGCAAGCCCACUUGGUUCAGGGUGCAUUGGGGCUAGGUGGUGGAGUUCCACAUCUGUCAUUGAACUUCUUGCAGCACCCCUGGUACACAAGGGUUGUGACGGGGCCGCGGAGAGAAACUGGAAACAGAGGAAGCUGGAAACAGAGGAAGCUGAUGCAGCCGCUUAUAGAAAAACAAGGCAGCGUUUAGUUUAAAAGAGCCCUUUCGUUUCUGUGAGGAUCAAAGCACCUGUGGGAGGAGGAGGGGUCAAGUUUGAGCAGGAACAGAAGAUGAGGCACCAGAUGGCAGAAGCAAGCAAACUACAUCAACAAGACACCUAAGAAGAAAAAGCCACAAUACAGCAUCAAGGAGCAGCAAAUAUCCAGCCCAGCACUGCUUGUGAAUAGGACUUCACUGAGACUUCAGCAUCAAUGAUUUCUAAGCAUCUGGCUGUGGGAGGAGUUAUGACAUCUGUACACCUGCCAGACAUGGUCUAUUUUAUCUUCAAAAGAUAUUUUCGAAUGGAAAGAAGGAUUAAAUUUUUUGCCAAAUUUGGGACCAGGAAGAAAUUUCCACCUCAUUCCCAUGGCUUGGAUUGUGGUUGGUCCUUUCACUUCCUCGGGAUCAACAAAGAUGGGAUCAUCAGGGAAUAUGUCUUGAUUUGAGAGGCAUGGGCUAUUAUAAUCCUAAGCAGG